RNAcentral lists this signal recognition particle RNA (148 nucleotides) under Gorilla gorilla gorilla (western lowland gorilla). RNAcentral's name for it is "Metazoan signal recognition particle RNA". It matches the Rfam family "Metazoan signal recognition particle RNA". From Rfam's summary of the family: The signal recognition particle (SRP) is a universally conserved ribonucleoprotein. Lineage: Eukaryota; Metazoa; Chordata; Mammalia; Primates; Hominidae. The record is from Rfam by way of RNAcentral.
GCUGGGCAUGGUGGUGCAUGCCUGUAGUCCCAGCUACUCGAGAGGCUGAGGCCAGAGGAUUGCUUGAGCCCAGGAGUUUGAGGCUGUAGUGAGCUAUGAUUGUGCCACUGCACUCCAACCUGGACGACAGAGCAAGACCCUGUCUCUU